UACAGAGGGUGCGAGCGUUAAUCGGAAUUACUGGGCGUAAAGCGUGCGUAGACGGUUAUUUAAGUCGGGUGUGAAAGCCCCGGGCCCAACCUGGGAAUUGCAUUCGAGACUGAAUAGCUAGGGUACGGUAGAGGGAAGUGGAAUUUCCGGUGUAGCGGUGAAAUGCGUAGAUAUCGGAAGGGACAUCAGUGGCGAAAGCGACUUCCUGGACCAGUACCGACGUUCAGGCACGAAAGCGUGGGGAGCAAACAGG
RNAcentral lists this ribosomal RNA (253 nucleotides) under uncultured bacterium. RNAcentral's name for it is "partial 16S ribosomal RNA". It matches the Rfam family "Bacterial small subunit ribosomal RNA", at positions 524 to 776 of the family's 1533-position model. The record is from RNAcentral.